Molecule: ribosomal RNA, 687 nt
Filed under: Triticum aestivum (bread wheat)
Lineage: Eukaryota; Viridiplantae; Streptophyta; Magnoliopsida; Poales; Poaceae
Description: partial small subunit ribosomal RNA
Source: RNAcentral
GAUGAACUCAUAUAUGUUUAUUGUUUGAAAUUUGUAAGGAUGGUUUGGCUUCUCGACGAUGUCUACGACACGAAACACCGGGCCUACAUGAUGCGCGAGAAGGAGAUGAAGCUUGAACCUUUGAAGAUUCGGUAUCACGGGGUCUCUGGUCCUGCCAUGCCUUACGAUGAGCGGUACACACCGUACAUCAAGCAGGCAGGACUACUCCCGUGGAUUCAGUUGGUCAGCCGGUCCACGCCGAAUCUGAACACUCCACUGGUGUCCGCUCUUGCUGAUCGGUGGAGGCCGGAGACGCAUAGUUUCCAUCUUCGGACUGGGGAUAUUACCGUGACGCUCGAGGAUGUCUCGUUGAUCACCGGUCUUGCUAUCGACGGGAUGCCUCUCUGUAUGAGCACCGAUUCUGAUGGCUGGCGCGAGCAGAUGAUUGCUCUUAUCAGUAUGGCUCCUACUGAGGCUGAGGCUGAUGUAGAGGAGGGAGAAGAGAAGAAGAAGAGGGAAAGGAAAGCAGACGGAGCUGCUUUCACGUGGAUUCAAACUCACUUUGCGACGUGCCCUCCGGAUGCCACUGAUGAUGUGAUCCAGACACAUGCUCGUGUCUACAUGUGGUAUGUUGUGUCGAGGACUUUGUUUCCUGACUCCACUGGCAAGAACGCUCCAUGGAUGUGGCUGAAGGCGUUGACCGUCUUC